UUAACUAUUUGCUUUUUACUUCAGGCUGCAAAGGGUUGCUAGAGUUUGCGUUUCGGCCGGAGGGCCCACCCGAAGGAGAGCCCGCCUGACGCCGAUCAUGGGGCGGGAAGCGAAGGGUGGGGGUGAGCGCCGAGGCGCUCGGUAACCCAGUAAUGAUCCUUCCGCAGGUUCACCUACGGAAA
Molecule: unclassified non-coding RNA, 182 nt
Filed under: uncultured fungus
Lineage: Eukaryota; Fungi
Description: sequence contains ITS1
Source: RNAcentral